UACGUAGGGGGCGAGCGUUGUCCGGAUUUAUUGGGCGUAAAGAGCUCGUAGGCGGCUUGGCAAGUCGGGUGUGAAACCUCCAGGCUCAACCUGGAGACGCCACUCGAUACUGCUAUGGCUAGAGUCCGGUAGGGGACCACGGAAUUCCUGGUGUAGCGGUGAAAUGCGCAGAUAUCAGGAGGAACACCGGUGGCGAAGGCGGUGGUCUGGGCCGGCACUGACGCUGAGGAGCGAAAGCGUGGGUAGCAAA
RNAcentral lists this ribosomal RNA (250 nucleotides) under uncultured bacterium. Its description in RNAcentral is "partial 16S ribosomal RNA". It matches the Rfam family "Bacterial small subunit ribosomal RNA", at positions 524 to 772 of the family's 1533-position model. The record is from RNAcentral. RNAcentral also lists the same sequence under 1 other name.